RNAcentral lists this ribosomal RNA (582 nucleotides) under uncultured Bacillota bacterium. RNAcentral describes it as "bacterial SSU rRNA". It matches the Rfam family "Bacterial small subunit ribosomal RNA", at positions 194 to 796 of the family's 1533-position model. The record is from RNAcentral. Lineage: Bacteria; Bacillati; Bacillota.
UUAGGGAGGAAAGGUUUACCGCUUAGGGAUGAGCCCGCGUCCCAUUAGCUAGUUGGUGAGGUAACGGCCCACCAAGGCGACGAUGGGUAGCCGGCCUGAGAGGGUGUACGGCCACACUGGGACUGAGACACGGCCCAGACUCCUACGGGAGGCAGCAGUAGGGAAUUUUCGGCAAUGGRCGGAAGCCUGACCGAGCAACKCCGCGUGAGGGAAGAAGGUSUUCGGAUCGUAAACCUUYAUCAUMGGGGACGAUCAYGACGGUACCCGAGGAGGAAGCCCCGGCUAACUACGUGCCAGCAGCCGCGGUAAUACGUAGGGGGCGAGCGUUGUCCGGAAUUACUGGGCGUAAAGGGCGCGUAGGCGGUCUAAUAAGUCAGAUGUGAAAUUCUUGGGCUUAACUCAGGAUGUGCAUUUGAAACUGUUGGACUUGAGGGCAGGAGAGGAAAGCGGAAUUCCCAGUGUAGCGGUGAAAUGCGUAGAUAUUGGGAGGAACACCAGUGGCGAAGGCGGCUUUCUGGACUGAACCUGACGCUGAGGCGCGAAAGCCAGGGGAGCGAACGGGAUUAGAUACCCUGGUAGUCC